GUACGGGCGUGCGCGUGAAGGGCAAGUCGUCCCAAAAGAUGGACACUGGGAAUAAGGGCAAGUGAACACCACAAAUCAGCAGAGCCAAGUAUAACCUACAUUGCAGCACUGUAGCUGAGAAGAAUACCUUUUCUCAAUCUGUUUCUCUAUGACAGCUGUGCAGCUCUCCCUUCUUUCCCUUGCUGGGGACUGGACUAUCUGAGAAAGAAUGAUUUAAAGGUCAAAUCUUGACUGUGGAUUCAAAGACAGAGCUUUCCUGGAGUAGGAUUGCAGAAAUCAACUGGGAGCAAGAGCAGUAUCACUCAUGGAAGCCUUCACUAACUGGAACCAUUUUUCUCGAUGUCAGAAUGAAGUACGCAUGACAGGUGCAAAUUUCCUCAUGCUGAUCAGUCCAGAUGACACCCUUUAGUGGUGCAAAGAUAAUCCAGCUGCUUCUGUUUCAGCACUGAGCACUCUGCUUUUCAAGAGGCACUUCCAACAGAAGCUGACUUCACAUGUUACUUUCAAAUAACUGUGUAAAUCAUAACGAUUGUAAAAUUCCAGUUUGCAAUAGGAAGCAUGUGUAAUAGAGCCCAAGGUUGGGAACACCUCCAGUGCUCACCAUGGCCUGGCUUGAUGAGGGAAUUUUUUAUGUACAUCCCUAUCUUUUAAUGUGCCUGAACUUGAGUGGAAAUCACAUGAAAUAUUUUCAUACAGAGCUGAUAUCCACUGGGCAAGGUGGAACACAAGGAUAUGGGGUGAAUAGAAGACUCCAUUGAAGUGGCCAUGUAAUGAGACAAGAAUAAUGCUCACAAAAUGUGCAACGACACAUGCAUUACCAGAUUUUGAUCUUUGAAUCAUCAGAAAUUUACCACCUGGCAUAAAACUCCUCUACAGCUUUCAGUCUUUGCAUACUUGAAAUCCUUAUACAAUUGCAUAAAUCUUCAUAUCACUAGCAAUUACAUUUUUAGUGUGAAUUUAUAGAAUAUAAUGUUCCGUCAGUGAAUACCAGCAAAUAAAUCGUGCCUUACUGGGCAUUGUGAUGCCCUACCUAAUUUGGGAUCUUAUUCCCAUGUAAACUUACUUGAAAAUUUAAUUGCAAAAUGUAUAUCGCUAUGAAAAAGUUAUUUAGA
Long non-coding RNA from Lagopus leucura (white-tailed ptarmigan), 1112 nucleotides. RefSeq lists it as uncharacterized. The transcript has 4 exons. NCBI's taxonomy places the organism in Eukaryota, Metazoa, Chordata, Aves, Galliformes, Phasianidae. The record is from RefSeq and is a predicted model, not a curated record.